GCGGAUAUACUCAAGUGGUUGAAGAGAUGUGUCUUGAAAACACGUAGGGGUGUAAAAGCCUGCGGGGGUUCGAAUCCUCCUAUCCGCG
RNAcentral lists this transfer RNA (88 nucleotides) under Caudoviricetes sp. RNAcentral's name for it is "tRNA-Ser". It matches the Rfam family "tRNA". Rfam says of the family: Transfer RNA (tRNA) molecules are approximately 80 nucleotides in length. Lineage: Duplodnaviria; Heunggongvirae; Uroviricota; Caudoviricetes. The record is from RNAcentral.